UACGGAGGGUGCGAGCGUUGUCCGGAAUCAUUGGGCGUAAAGCGCGCGUAGGCGGCCUCGUAAGUCCGUUGUGAAAGUCAAAGGCUCAACCUUUGAAAGCCGAUGGAUACUGUGAGGCUAGAGUCCGGAAGAGGCGAGUGGAAUUCCUGGUGUAGCGGUGGAAUGCGCAGAUAUCAGGAGGAACACCAAUAGCGAAGGCAGCUCGCUGGGACGGUACUGACGCUAAGGCGCGAAAGCGUGGGGAGCGAACAGG
RNAcentral lists this ribosomal RNA (253 nucleotides) under uncultured bacterium. RNAcentral describes it as "partial 16S ribosomal RNA". It matches the Rfam family "Bacterial small subunit ribosomal RNA", at positions 524 to 776 of the family's 1533-position model. The record is from RNAcentral.